AUUUGAUCACUUCCUUGUUUAGAAUUAUAGGCAUGAGGUGAUGAUUAAAAUCAGAAUGGCUAGGUUUUAUUAUUGUAGUUCAAAAUUUUCUAUGCACAGGGUCGUUGCCCCACACACCUAUUGCCUGUACCCAGGACUACUCCCAACAACUCCACAGUUAGUCAGCCACUGGUAACUCCCCAUGGUUGACAUAAUUGAGUGCAAAGCGAUGGCCCUUAACAAAGUUCUCCAUCAAUGGCCUCAACCUCUUUUCAGCCUCCUCCUCCACAGUUCCUCCGUUGUGAAAAUGUCCCAUCAUCUAGAAGAGUGGAAAUAUCCUACUCCCUGAGCCUGCCUCCUUUUUUUUUUUUUUUUUUACUUUCCUGUAUUUAUUCGUAUUUCUCCCUCUGACAAUUUAAGUGUAAUGAGCACAGGCUUUAGAGCGGGGAUUUUCUGGGUUUGAACUUUCUCUCUGUAGUUUAGAAAUUGCGGGAUCUUGGGCAAGUUAUGGAAACUAUCUAGGCCUCGGCCUCCUCACCUAGAAAAAAAUAGUGACAAAAGCCCCGUCUACACAGAGUACCGGAUCAGAUGAGGACCUAAAAUAUAUGUGGGAUUGUCUGUCACAAUAAAUAUCUUUUUAUCUUUUCUCUCCCCUGCUGAAUUUCCCGGAUCCAACACUUACAGAGCUUUGUCCCAAAUAGGCCCUCCCAGAACUUGAGCAACUGAACCGAAUUGAUCAAACCAGAUGAUAUACAAGCUCCAAAGGUACGAGGUUGAGGCCCAGGCUCCGGCUCUUUCUAGAAUUACCUCAGCUGUGAGCCCUGAGCAUUGUCAUGAGAAGAAAAUCUCGAAUAUUUCUCACUCGGCCUUCGUUCCUCUUCUUCAGCUGUCCGGAACUCCCUCACCUCGAACGACGGCCGCGACCAAACAAGGAGGCCGCAGAAGCCUCACCGGGACCAGCGACCACACGGGAAUCUGGAUGCGGCGUCCGUUUCACCUUGGGAAACAUCUCAGCAUUCUGAGCAGCUCAGAGCUUCAUCCUGCAGCCGGUGCUGCCUCCCCUCCGGUCUCCCUGUCUAGAGACACACACCGAAAUCACUGCAGGCAUUCGACUGCUUCGUGCGGCACCGGAAGGAGCCCUGUGGGUCAUCACAGCCAAGCCCAUAAACAAGCACCAUCGCAAAACCAAACAAAUGGAGGAGAAGUGGCUCAGUGGAGGUACCUGCCAACGAGACUUGUUCCUCUGGCACGAGGGCUGCUCGGCAAAAGCCUCCAUCCCUCAUUAAAUCAAUAAAAUCAAGUGUCCUUUAUUUUAAGCCUCAGCACUGUAAACCAGUAGCAAGGAGAGGGGCCCAGGCUUUUCAUCUCAUUGUUUCAAAACAGAUCGUUGGGUUGGAAUUGACAAAAGGUUCAUUCCUUUACCUUUGUGGAAAUGUCAGUAAAAACGCAGGUGCUGGGCAUUUGGACUCUUUUGCUCCGCAGAAGGAAAAAAAAAAAAAAAAGGAGAGCGUGUGUGUGGGGAGGGGGAGAUCCGUGACAGGCUAACUACAUGUACUGAAGCUUUCUAAGACAUUUUGUUUAGCCUGAUAUUGUGCAGCAGUGAGGAGAGAGGUGGAAUCUAUUGUGUACCAGCUGCAUGAAUCACCGGAUUGAAGUCUAACAGCCUCAGAUCCUCUUUUAUACAGUAGAGGGGAGAUUAGAGCAGGGAGCUCAUAUGUCACAAAAUAGAGGUACAAUGUGGUUCUGGCUUGCUUAGCGCACUCAGCCAGCAUUUGAUCCAAAUUUAGCCAAAGGGAACGAAGGAACGUGUGCUGCUAUCAGCCAGGGAGGUGACAAAUGUUGGGCUGUAAUAUCCCAAAUUCCUUUUCUG
Ursus maritimus (polar bear) is the source of this 1849-nucleotide long non-coding RNA. NCBI's taxonomy places the organism in Eukaryota, Metazoa, Chordata, Mammalia, Carnivora, Ursidae. The record is from Ensembl.